GUGCCAGCAGCCGCGGUAAUACGAACCGUCCAAACGUUAUUCGGAAUCACUGGGCUUACAGAGUUCGUAGGCGGCGGAGAAAGUAGGGUGUGAAAGCCCUCGGCUUAACCGAGGAAUAGCGCCCUAAACUACUUCGCUUGAGGAGGCUAGAGGUGAGCAGAACAGAUGGUGGAGCGGUGAAAUGCGUUGAUAUCAUCUGGAAUACCGGAGGCGAAGGCGGCUCACUGGGACCUUUCUGACGCUGAGGAACGAAAGCUAGGGUAGCGAACGGGAUUAGAAACCCGCGUAGUCC
Molecule: ribosomal RNA, 292 nt
Filed under: uncultured bacterium
Lineage: Bacteria
Description: partial 16S ribosomal RNA
Rfam family: Bacterial small subunit ribosomal RNA
Source: RNAcentral